AGCGGGGAAAGGUAGCUUGCUACUGGACCUAGCGGCGGACGGGUGAGUAAUGCUUAGGAAUCUGCCUAUUAGUGGGGGACAACAUUCCGAAAGGAAUGCUAAUACCGCAUACGUCCUACGGGAGAAAGCAGGGGACCUUCGGGCCUUGCGCUAAUAGAUGAGCCUAAGUCGGAUUAGCUAGUUGGUGGGGUAAAGGCCUACCAAGGCGACGAUCUGUAGCGGGUCUGAGAGGAUGAUCCGCCACACUGGGACUGAGACACGGCCCAGACUCCUACGGGAGGCAGCAGUGGGGAAUAUUGGACAAUGGGGGGAACCCUGAUCCAGCCAUGCCGCGUGUGUGAAGAAGGCCUUAUGGUUGUAAAGCACUUUAAGCGAGGAGGAGGCUACUAGUAUUAAUACUACUGGAUAGUGGACGUUACUCGCAGAAUAAGCACCGGCUAACUCUGUGCCAGCAGCCGCGGUAAUACAGAGGGUGCGAGCGUUAAUCGGAUUUACUGGGCGUAAAGCGUGCGUAGGCGGCCAUUUAAGUCAAAUGUGAAAUCCCCGAGCUUAACUUGGGAAUUGCAUUCGAUACUGGAUGGCUAGAGUAUGGGAGAGGAUGGUAGAAUUCCAGGUGUAGCGGUGAAAUGCGUAGAGAUCUGGAGGAAUACCGAUGGCGAAGGCAGCCAUCUGGCCUAAUACUGACGCUGAGGUACGAAAGCAUGGGGAGCAAACAGGAUUAGAUACCCUGGUAGUCCAUGCCGUAAACGAUGUCUACUAGCCGUUGGGGCCUUUGAGGCUUUAGUGGCGCAGCUACCGCGAUAAGUAGACCGCCUGGGGAGUACGGUCGCAAGACUAAAACUCAAAUGAAUUGACGGGGG
This 860-nucleotide ribosomal RNA is filed under the name Acinetobacter sp. EGY-WCK1. RNAcentral describes it as "bacterial SSU rRNA". It matches the Rfam family "Bacterial small subunit ribosomal RNA", at positions 65 to 919 of the family's 1533-position model. Lineage: Bacteria; Pseudomonadati; Pseudomonadota; Gammaproteobacteria; Moraxellales; Moraxellaceae. The record is from RNAcentral.